This 227-nucleotide ribosomal RNA is filed under the name Glomus sp. (unid). The record is from RNAcentral. Lineage: Eukaryota; Fungi; Glomeromycota; Glomeromycetes; Glomerales; Glomeraceae.
CAGUCGUACCGGCGGAUAAUCAGCCUUUCGAGUGCGAUUCUGUGGGGCGUGAGGAGCUUAACCGCCUUCAUGUUUUGCAUAUUCGUGCACAUUAGGUGUACUUGUCCGUGUGGUGGGUUAACAUCAAUUUCAGUCGUCAUAAGAUGACUGGAGGAAUGUAGCUUUUGGUUCGUAUCGAAGUGUUAUAGACUCUGGUAGAUGUGACGAUUGGGGAUUGGAGGUAUUGC